AAUCAACGCUGGCGGCGUGCCUCAGACAUGCAAGUCGAACGUGAAAGGCUUCUUCGGAAGCCGAGUAAAGUGGCGCACGGGUGAGUAACACGUGAGUAAUCUGCCUUCACGGUGGGGGAUACCAAUCGGAAACGGUUGUUAAUACCGCAUAAUGCAGCGGCAUCAUAAGAUGACAGUUGUUAAAGCGGGGGAGCGAAGCAAUUCGUCCUCGCGCCGGAAGAGGAGCCGCGGCAGAUUAGGUAGUGGUGAGGUAACGGCUCACCAAGCCUGCGAUCUGUAACCGGCCUGAGAGGGCGGUCGGUCACACUGACACUUAGAUACGGGUCAGGACUCCUACGGGAGGCAGCAGUCGGGAAUUUU
RNAcentral lists this ribosomal RNA (360 nucleotides) under uncultured bacterium. RNAcentral's name for it is "bacterial SSU rRNA". It matches the Rfam family "Bacterial small subunit ribosomal RNA", at positions 32 to 365 of the family's 1533-position model. The record is from RNAcentral.